This 96-nucleotide long non-coding RNA is filed under the name Mus spretus (western wild mouse). RNAcentral describes it as "lncRNA (ENSMSPG00010025431.1)". The record is from RNAcentral. Lineage: Eukaryota; Metazoa; Chordata; Mammalia; Rodentia; Muridae.
AGGAGGGGGGAGCCGAGGGGGUGGGGAAGAGUUCGUUGUUUGUUUACACGAUGUGAGCGGAAAGAGAGACCAAUAAAGUUUAUUCUGGAAACAAAA